Molecule: ribosomal RNA, 376 nt
Filed under: uncultured alga
Lineage: Eukaryota
Description: partial 23S ribosomal RNA
Rfam family: Bacterial large subunit ribosomal RNA
Source: RNAcentral
GCUUUACUGUAGCCUGGUAUUGGGUUCGGCUUUGUCUUGCGCAGGAUAGGUGGGAGGCUGUGAGAUUGCCCUUGUGGGGCAAUUAGAGCCAAUCAGUGAGAUACCACUCUGAACAAAGCUAGAAUUCUAACCUGCGUUCCUUGAUCCGGACGAUGAACAGUUAUUCAGGUGGGCAGUUUGUCUGGGGCGGACGCCUCCAUAAAAGCGUAACUGAGGCGCGCAAAGGUUCUCUCAGUCUGGAUGGAAAUCAGCCAUUGAGUGUAAAGGCAGCAAGGGAGCUUGAUUGCAAGACCAACAAGUCGAGCAGGGGCGAAAGCCGGCCUUAGUGAUCCGACGGUGCCGAGUGGAAGGGCCGUCGCUCAACGGAUAAAAGUUA